RNAcentral lists this ribosomal RNA (254 nucleotides) under uncultured bacterium. Its description in RNAcentral is "partial 16S ribosomal RNA". It matches the Rfam family "Bacterial small subunit ribosomal RNA", at positions 524 to 776 of the family's 1533-position model. The record is from RNAcentral.
UACGUAGGGUGCGAGCGUUGUCCGGAAUUAUUGGGCGUAAAGAGCUCGUAGGCGGUGUGUCACGUCGGCCGUGAAAACCUGGGGCUUAACGCUGGGCGUGCGGUCGAUACGGGCAUCACUAGAGUUCGGCAGGGGAGACUGGAAUUCCUGGUGUAGCGGUGAAAUGCGCAGAUAUCAGGAGGAACACCGGUGGCGAAGGCGGGUCUCUGGGCCGAUACUGACGCUGAGGAGCGAAAGCAUGGGUAGCGAACAGG